GGACGAACGCUGGCGGCGUGCUUAACACAUGCAAGUCGAACGAGAAUCAAUGGAUAGAGGAUUCGUCCAAUUGAAGUUGAGGAAAGUGGCGGACGGGUGAGUAACGCGUGAGGAACCUGCCUUUCAGAGGGGGACAACAGUUGGAAACGACUGCUAAUACCGCAUAACGCAUAGAGGUCGCAUGAUCUUUAUGCCAAAGAUUUAUCGCUGAAAGAUGGCCUCGCGUCUGAUUAGCUAGUUGGUGAGGUAACGGCCCACCAAGGCGACGAUCAGUAGCCGGACUGAGAGGUUGACCGGCCACAUUGGGACUGAGAUACGGCCCAGACUCCUACGGGAGGCAGCAGUGGGGAAUAUUGGGCAAUGGGCGCAAGCCUGACCCAGCAACGCCGCGUGAAGGAAGAAGGCUUUCGGGUUGUAAACUUCUUUGACAGGGGAAGAGUAGAAGACGGUACCCUGAAAACAAGCCACGGCUAACUACGUG
RNAcentral lists this ribosomal RNA (481 nucleotides) under uncultured bacterium. Its description in RNAcentral is "bacterial SSU rRNA". It matches the Rfam family "Bacterial small subunit ribosomal RNA", at positions 27 to 507 of the family's 1533-position model. The record is from RNAcentral.